RNAcentral lists this small nuclear RNA (82 nucleotides) under Alligator mississippiensis (American alligator). RNAcentral's name for it is "U4 spliceosomal RNA". It matches the Rfam family "U4 spliceosomal RNA", at positions 1 to 82 of the family's 138-position model. From Rfam's summary of the family: U4 small nuclear RNA (U4 snRNA) is a component of the major U2-dependent spliceosome. The structure of U4 snRNA from yeast and human has been reported. U4 snRNA presents a k-turn RNA motif in the 5p-SL related to recognition of Snu13 protein. Lineage: Eukaryota; Metazoa; Chordata; Crocodylia; Alligatoridae. The record is from Rfam by way of RNAcentral.
UACUUUGUGUAGUGGCAAUAUCAUAGCCUGUGAGGCUGAUCUGAGGCAUGAUCUUUGCUAGUUGAAAACUUUCCCUCAACAG